RNAcentral lists this ribosomal RNA (1036 nucleotides) under Calycina parvispora. RNAcentral describes it as "SSU rRNA". It matches the Rfam family "Eukaryotic small subunit ribosomal RNA", at positions 75 to 1120 of the family's 1831-position model. Lineage: Eukaryota; Fungi; Ascomycota; Leotiomycetes; Helotiales. The record is from RNAcentral.
UAUACCGUGAAACUGCGAAUGGCUCAUUAAAUCAGUUAUCGUUUAUUUGAUAGUACCUUACUACUUGGAUAACCGUGGUAAUUCUAGAGCUAAUACAUGCUAAAAACCCCGACUUCGGAAGGGGUGUAUUUAUUAGAUAAAAAACCAAUGCCCUUCGGGGCUUCUUGGUGAUUCAUAAUAACUUAACGAAUCGCAUGGCCUUGUGCCGGCGAUGGUUCAUUCAAAUUUCUGCCCUAUCAACUUUCGAUGUUAAUGUAUUGGAUUAACAUGGUUUCAACGGGUAACGGGGAAUUAGGGUUCUAUUCCGGAGAGGGAGCCUGAGAAACGGCUACCACAUCCAAGGAAGGCAGCAGGCGCGCAAAUUACCCAAUCCCGACACGGGGAGGUAGUGACAAUAAAUACUGAUACAGGGCUCUUUUGGGUCUUGUAAUUGGAAUGAGUACAAUUUAAAUCCCUUAACGAGGAACAAUUGGAGGGCAAGUCUGGUGCCAGCAGCCGCGGUAAUUCCAGCUCCAAUAGCGUAUAUUAAAGUUGUUGCAGUUAAAAAGCUCGUAGUUGAACCUUGAGCCUGGCUGGCCGGUCCGCCUCACCGCGUGCACUGGUCCGGCCGGGCCUUUCCUUCUGGGGAGCCGCAUGCCCUUCACUGGGUGUGUCGGGGAACCAGGACUUUUACUUUGAAAAAAUUAGAGUGUUCAAAGCAGGCCUAUGCUCGAAUACAUUAGCAUGGAAUAAUAGAAUAGGACGUGUGGUUCUAUUUUGUUGGUUUCUAGGACCGCCGUAAUGAUUAAUAGGGAUAGUCGGGGGCAUCAGUAUUCAAUUGUCAGAGGUGAAAUUCUUGGAUUUAUUGAAGACUAACUACUGCGAAAGCAUUUGCCAAGGAUGUUUUCAUUUAUCAGUGAACGAAAGUUAGGGGAUCGAAGACGAUCAGAUACCGUCGUAGUCUUAACCAUAAACUAUGCCGACUAGGGAUCGGGCGAUGUUAUCUUUUUGACUCGCUCGGCACCUUACGAGAAAUCAAAGUCUUUGGGUCUGGGGG